GUUUCCGUAGGUGAAUCCUGCGGGGGGAUCAUUAAAAAAUGAGACCUGAUUUCAAGGUCUAUUAAUAAUCCUAACCCUUUGUGAAUUUGUUUUGUUUUAAUAUGUGUCUUUCCCUGUUUUGUUUGAAGCUUUGUUUAAAAGUUUCGAACCUUCAGGGGAAUGGCAAAACUUUUUUUUAAAAUUAAACUUUUUGUAUUCAUUUGUCUAAAAUUAUAUUUUUAUAAUAUAAAAACAACUUUUGACAAUGGAUCUCUUGGUUCUCGCAACGGAUGAAGAACGCAGCAAAAAUGCGAUAAGUAGUGUGAAUUGCAGAAAUACGUGAAUCAUCGAGAUCUUCGAACGCAUAUUGAAAGCACUUUUUUUGGUUUUACCAAAAAAGUAUGUCUGUUUGAGUAUCAGUAAAUAUUCUCUAUAAAAAACUAUUUGUUUUUAUGGUUACGAGUGUUUUACAACGAUAAACAAGUUGUUUCACUUUAAAUUCUUUGUCUUUUAAAAAAUCAUUAAAAACUGAAUUUUUUUUAAAAUUGGAUAAAAUUUUCCCGUAAAAGGAAUAACCUAAACAAUUUUAAUUUAAAAAUUGGUUUGAUUUCUUUUAAGACUUCAAAGGAAAAAAAAGUAAAAAAUUAACUUGAUCUCAAAUCAGAUAAGAGCACCCGACUGAACUUAAGCAUAUCAAUAAGCGGAGGAAAAGAAACUAACUAGGAUUCCCUCAGUAACGGCGAGUGAAGCGGGAAGAGCUCAAAUUUGAAAUCUUCAAGGUUCUACCUUGACGAAAUUGUAGUUUAAAGAAGUGUUUUCUGUUGGAGUUUUGGUAAAAGUUCUUUGGAAUAGGACAUCAUAGAGGGUAGAAUCCCGUAUUUGACCAUUAUUUCCAACUUUGUGAUACACUUUCAAAGAGUCGGAUUGUUUGGGAAUGCAGUCCAAAAUGGGUGGUAAAUUUUCAUCUAAAGCUAAAUACUGGCGAGAGACCGAUAGCGAAGACAAGUACCGUGAGGGAAAGAUGAAAAGAACUUUGAAAAGAGAGUUAAACAGUACGUGAAAUUGUCAAAAGGGAAGCGUUUGACACCAGUGUUGUUUUCUCGAAAAUCAAUUAAAAAUGGCGGGAUUUUGUGUUGUAUUGACUUUUAUCAGCUUUCUGCACUUUUUUCCUGUCUUUUUUAAUGCACUUUUCGUUUAACAAGUCAACAUCCAAUUUCUUUUGUUGUAAAAGGGUCAUUGGAAGGUGGCUUUCUUUUCGAGAAGUGUUUAUAGCCUUUGGCCUCUGCAAUCGGAGAGAUUGAGGUCUGCAGCGUAGAUCCUUCGGGGUUAGAUGCAUUUGUGCUAAGCUAUAGCCUUUCAUAGACAACUUGUUGACUAUGAUCAGUCAUGUAGCUUACUCGCUUAUGUCAUUUUACCUACGCUUAGGAUGUU
This 1410-nucleotide unclassified non-coding RNA is filed under the name uncultured Neocallimastigales. RNAcentral describes it as "partial contains internal transcribed spacer 1, 5.8S ribosomal RNA, internal transcribed spacer 2, and large subunit ribosomal RNA". The stretch from base 630 to 1410 matches the Rfam family "Eukaryotic large subunit ribosomal RNA", at positions 1 to 628 of the family's 3401-position model. Lineage: Eukaryota; Fungi; Neocallimastigomycota; Neocallimastigomycetes; Neocallimastigales. The record is from RNAcentral.